GGACCCGCACAAGCGGUGGAUGAUGUGGAUUAAUUCGAUGCAACGCGAAAAACCUUACCUACCCUUGACAUGGCUGGAAUCCCCGAGAGAUUGGGGAGUGCUCGAAAGAGAACCAGUACACAGGUGCUGCAUGGCUGUCGUCAGCUCGUGUCGUGAGAUGUUGGGUUAAGUCCCGCAACGAGCGCAACCCUUGUCAUUAGUUGCUACGAAAGGGCACUCUAAUGAGACUGCCGGUGACAAACCGGAGGAAGGUGGGG
RNAcentral lists this ribosomal RNA (257 nucleotides) under uncultured prokaryote. RNAcentral's name for it is "partial 16S ribosomal RNA". It matches the Rfam family "Bacterial small subunit ribosomal RNA", at positions 917 to 1178 of the family's 1533-position model. The record is from RNAcentral.